GGGUUAGGGUUUCCCCGCCCCGCCCGCCGCCGCCGUUCCCGGCCAGCGCCGACGCCAUUCUCCGCGACCGCCGUCCCUAUCGUCCUGACGCGCUCCAUUCCCGUCCUCUGCCCCGUCCCAGGAGGUCGUCUGCGAGCUCGCGCUCGUCCGUCGAGGCGCCGCCGUCCCUGUCCUCCUCCCGCUCGGGCCGUCCCUGUCCUCCUCCAGCUCGGGCCGUCCCCGUCCUUCUCAAGGUCACCGCCGUCCUAGGAGGUCGACGCCAAGCUUGACCCGUCCCCGUCCAUGUCCCUGUAGGUCGGGGUGCCGGCGUCCUUGUCCUCGUCCAGCUCGUGCCGCCCUCGUCUCCUAGGCCAGGGAGGAGAUGGGCGCCGACGGCUUGGCCCCUGGGGCGGCCGACUUCGAGCUGAUGCUGCGCGCCUUCGGCGACCGCUGCCAGUUCGACGCCGCCGACGAGGCGUUCGACGAAAUGCUCCUGCGUGGGCUCGUGCCGGGCGUGGCCUCGUGCCGGGCGUGGCCUCGUACAACGUGUACGUCGCCGCGCUGUGGAAAAACCUGAUGUGCAAAACUGCUCAGCUUGGCCUCCUCGCACGCCCGUGUCUGGUCGUCACCGUCGCCGGUCAGCAGCUCCACGUCCGUAUUCUGGAAAUAGUACUAGCAUGUUGACAUGAGCUCUUUGCAAUCUGAGUAAUACUAGUAUGUAUGUAUCUGGUAUGCAUCUGUACAAAAUUUUCUAGCUCUUGGUUUAGUGCAAAUUUUAGUUGUGAUUGUUUGUGAUAUUUUGAAUUAAGAAAGAACACAAACAGCGGUAAAACUCCGGCAUGGCGCAUGUGUGUUGCGGAAA
Non-coding RNA from Lolium perenne, 841 nucleotides. Lineage: Eukaryota; Viridiplantae; Streptophyta; Magnoliopsida; Poales; Poaceae. The record is from RefSeq and is a predicted model, not a curated record.